RNAcentral lists this ribosomal RNA (460 nucleotides) under uncultured bacterium. RNAcentral's name for it is "partial 16S ribosomal RNA". It matches the Rfam family "Bacterial small subunit ribosomal RNA", at positions 338 to 795 of the family's 1533-position model. The record is from RNAcentral.
CCUACGGGAGGCAGCAGUGAGGAAUAUUGGUCAAUGGGCGCGAGCCUGAACCAGCCAAGUAGCGUGAAGGAUGACUGCCCUACGGGUUGUAAACUUCUUUUAUAAAGGAAUAAAGUGAGGCACGUGUGCCUUUUUGUAUGUACUUUAUGAAUAAGGAUCGGCUAACUCCGUGCCAGCAGCCGCGGUAAUACGGAGGAUCCGAGCGUUAUCCGGAUUUAUUGGGUUGAAAGGGAGCGUAGAUGGGUUGUUAAGUCAGUUGUGAAAGUUUGCGGCUCAACCGUAAAAUUGCAAUUGAUACUGGCAGCCUUGAGUACAGGUGAGGUAGGCGGAAUUCGUGGUGUAGCAGUGAAAUGCUUAGAUAUCACGAAGAACUCCGAUUGCGAAGGCAGCUUACUAAACUGCCACUGACAUUGAUGCUCGAAGGUGUGGGUAUCGAAAGGGAUUAGAUACCCGAGUAGUC